CAGCUUAAACUGAUAACUAUUGGAGGGGGCCCUAGCCAUCUAUGCCCCUUGAAUUGUUGUUAAGAUAGUUUUGAGAUGUGAGGACUGGGCAGAAUGCCAGAAUAAUCGCGUUUCUUUCUUUUUAAGAAUAAAGAAUAAAGAACAGCUGACACUUCACAUCCUAGAAUCAACCUAAACUCAUUUCCUGUCUCUCUUGACGCCUUCUUUUAAUUU
This 213-nucleotide long non-coding RNA is filed under the name Populus trichocarpa (black cottonwood). Its description in RNAcentral is "long non-coding RNA (PTRI_LNC003625)". The record is from RNAcentral. Lineage: Eukaryota; Viridiplantae; Streptophyta; Magnoliopsida; Malpighiales; Salicaceae.